RNAcentral lists this ribosomal RNA (672 nucleotides) under uncultured bacterium. RNAcentral's name for it is "bacterial SSU rRNA". It matches the Rfam family "Bacterial small subunit ribosomal RNA", at positions 165 to 852 of the family's 1533-position model. The record is from RNAcentral.
AAUACCGCAUAUGCCAUAACCAUCACAUGAUAGUAGUGGGAAAGGAGUAAUCCGCUAACAGAUGGGCUCGCGUCUGAUUAGAUAGUUGGUGGGGUAACGGCCUACCAAGUCUACGAUCAGUAGCCGGACUGAGAGGUUGAACGGCCACAUUGGGACUGAGAUACGGCCCAGACUCCUACGGGAGGCAGCAGUCGGGAAUAUUGCGCAAUGGAGGAAACUCUGACGCAGUGACGCCGCGUAUAGGAAGAAGGUCUUCGGAUUGUAAACUAUUGUCGUUAGGGAAGAAAAAGGACAGUACCUAAGGAGGAAGCUCCGGCUAACUACGUGCCAGCAGCCGCGGUAAUACGUAGGGAGCAAGCGUUAACCGGAUUUAUUGGGUGUAAGGGGUGCGUAGACGGGAUAAUAAGUUAGUUGUGAAAUCCCUCGGCUCAACUGAGGAACUGCAACUAAAACUGUUAUUCUUGAGUGUUGGAGAGGAAAGCGGAAUUCCUAGUGUAGCGGUGAAAUGCGUAGAUAUUAGGAGGAACACCAGUGGCGAAGGCGGCUUUCUGGACAAUAACUGACGUUGAGGCACGAAAGUGUGGGGAGCAAACAGGAUUAGAUACCCUGGUAGUCCACACCGUAAACGAUGGAUACUAGGUGUAGGUUAUGUCAUGUAAUCUGUGCCGUCGC